RNAcentral lists this ribosomal RNA (253 nucleotides) under uncultured bacterium. RNAcentral describes it as "partial 16S ribosomal RNA". It matches the Rfam family "Archaeal small subunit ribosomal RNA", at positions 474 to 727 of the family's 1478-position model. The record is from RNAcentral.
UACCAGCACCCCGAGUGGUCGGUACGAUUAUUGGGCCUAAAGCAUCCGUAGCCGGUCCUGCAAGUCUUCUGUUAAAUCCAGCUGCUCAACAGAUGGGCUGCGGGGGAUACUACAGGGCUAGGAGGCGGGAGAGGCAAGCGGUACUUUAUGGGUAGGGGUAAAAUCCGUUGAUCCAUAGAAGACCACCAGUGGCGAAGGCGGCUUGCCAGAACGCGCUCGACGGUGAGGGAUGAAAGCUGGGGGAGCAAACCGG